UAGAAAAUUCGAGAGCUGGAAAAUUCACUGCAUGAAGCUAAAGAAAGUGCUAUGCAUAAGGAAAGCAAGAUUAUAAAGAUGCAGAAAGAACUUGAGGUGACUAAUGACAUAAUAGCAAAACUUCAAGCCAAAGUUAAUGAAUCAAAUAAAUGCCUUGAAAAAACAAAAGAGACAAUUCAAGUACUUCAGGACAAAGUUGCUUUAGGAGCUAAACCAUAUAAAGAAGAAAUUGAAGAUCUCAAAACGAAGCUUGUGAAAAUAGACCUAGAGAAAAUGAAAAAUGCCAAAGAAUUUGAAAAGGAGUACGUAUUUGUCUUAAUUUAAUGUGAUUUUAAUAGCUUAAAUUUUCUUCCUAAACUACAUAUACUUUUCAUUAGUUAACUUUUUAAAAUAUAAUUUAUGAAAAUAUUGUUACUGCUCUUUUUUAAAAAAUGUACACAUCAUAGAUUUUAAAUAUACUGGUCUCAUUACAUAUGCAAAGUUUUUAAAACUAAGCACAAUUCUGAUCAAUUAA
This 514-nucleotide small RNA is filed under the name Pongo abelii (Sumatran orangutan). RNAcentral's name for it is "retained intron". Lineage: Eukaryota; Metazoa; Chordata; Mammalia; Primates; Hominidae. The record is from RNAcentral.